UACAGAGGGUGCAAGCGUUGUUCGGAAUUAUUGGGCGUAAAGCGCACGUAGGCGGCUUCGUAAGUCGGAUGUGAAAGCCCAGGGCUCAACCUUGGAAGUGCAUUCGAAACUGUGAAGCUAGAGUUUCGGAGAGGGUGGUGGAAUUCCCAGUGUAGAGGUGAAAUUCGUAGAUAUUGGGAGGAACAUCAGUGGCGAAGGCGACCACCUGGACGAAAACUGACGCUGAGGUGCGAAAGCGUGGGUAGCAAACAGG
Molecule: ribosomal RNA, 253 nt
Filed under: uncultured bacterium
Lineage: Bacteria
Description: partial 16S ribosomal RNA
Rfam family: Bacterial small subunit ribosomal RNA
Source: RNAcentral